GCUUUACUGUAACACUCAGCUACUCGGGAGGCUGAGGUGGGAGGAUCGCUUGAGUCCAGGAGCUCUGGGCUGUAGUGAGCUGUGCUGACCGCUCUAAGUCCAACAUCAAUAUGGUGACCUCCCCAAUGGGGACACCACCAGGUAGACAAAGGAGAGGUGAACCAGCCCAGGUCAGAAAUGGAGCAGGUCAAAACUCCUGAGCCGCUCAGUAGUGCCUGUGACCAGCCCCUGCACUCCAGCCGGGGCAACAUAGCGAGCCCUUCUCUUU
RNAcentral lists this signal recognition particle RNA (268 nucleotides) under Microcebus murinus (gray mouse lemur). RNAcentral's name for it is "Metazoan signal recognition particle RNA (ENSMICG00000037470.2)". It matches the Rfam family "Metazoan signal recognition particle RNA". Rfam says of the family: The signal recognition particle (SRP) is a universally conserved ribonucleoprotein. It is involved in the co-translational targeting of proteins to membranes. The record is from RNAcentral. Lineage: Eukaryota; Metazoa; Chordata; Mammalia; Primates; Cheirogaleidae.